Molecule: long non-coding RNA, 5271 nt
Organism: Beta vulgaris subsp. vulgaris (sugar beet)
Lineage: Eukaryota; Viridiplantae; Streptophyta; Magnoliopsida; Caryophyllales; Amaranthaceae
Exons: 10
Source: RefSeq, a predicted model, not a curated record
CUAUACUGGUAAUAAGUUAUUGAAUGUUGGCAGGUACAUAAUCGUAUCGGGAGUCAAAUAAAAGGAAAGUGGCCUUUGAUGAAUCAAUGGACUAAACCCAUUAAUGUAAAUAAGCAAAAAGAAGAAAGAGACAAAAAAAACCUACUCUUUUUUUCGACCAAAAUCCCACGCAGCAUCAAGGAGAAGAUCGAAUAAGAAUUUGGGCUUUCAUUUAAUCCACAAUACAACAAAAGAAGAAAAGGGAGCUGGAUGGAUUUUGGUUUUGGUGGGCCGAAAGGGACGCAUCACAAGGAAAGAAAGGGUUUGGCAGGAGGGGAACUCUAGGGGGGACGGAGAAGACAACCAGAAGAGAAGGAGGGAAGCGGAAGGCGGCAGAGUUCGACGAAGGAAGACGAAGGCAGCAGUACAACAACGUCAAUUCGAGCCUUCCGUCAGAUUUUUCAGCCAUGGUUUCUUAUAAUUGGGUGAUAUUCUCUUCAACUAUGAGUAGCUAUUUUUUCUAUUCUAGGGCCUAGAUGAAACCCAUAUUAGUAUGAUUUGAUAAUUUAGUUUUGUUUGGGAAUUGAUUAUGGUUUAUGAUUGCAUAACUAUAGAGAUUAUUGUUAAGUUUAUUUAUUGUUUGCAAUAUAGAUUGAUUAUUAUUCUUGUAGAAUGAUUUAUUAGUUUAUAUUGUUAUCAAAUUCACACACUUUGUUCUUGUAGUUCAAAGAGUGAUGUUAUGCAAUGGUAUUUCAUGAAUUGUUGUUGAAAAGUUGAAUAAUUUAUGCUUUAGUUAGAUAAGUUAUGUCACCUAAUUAAUCACAACACUAUCUGGUUGGAAGUAAUCCCAACUUGUAGUUUAGGUAGCUUGAUAAACCAAUUAAAUCUCACUCAAACUAAGUUGUUAAUCAUAUUGAUAGUGGUGGAUUCGAAUGUCCUAGAAGUUCCUCCGUACUAUUUGUUGUCCGUGAAUUUUAGUAAUUUAUUAUUUUAGUAUUACAAUUUAAGUCGAAUUAGUUUAAUUGUCAUAACCACAUCAAUCAUUUUAUUUUCUUAGGAUUAAAUUAGUAGACGUUGAAUUAAACAUUAACCCACGUUCCCUGUGGGUACGAUACCCUAUUAUUUAUCACUAUCUACUAGAUCUUGUACACUUGCAAGAAUAGGGUUUUAAAGCUUGUUCAAAAUUGCUAUCAUCGGUUCUUAUGAUACAUGACACUCUUUCAUUGGUUUAAGUAAAAUGAAAUUAAGGUCUUACAGAAGAGUAUCAUGUGUCAUGGUUAACCGAUUUAACAAAAAUAAAAUUGAGUUAUGGAUCCCUUUAUGGAGGGACUGAAAGUUUGGACGGUUAUGAGAUAAUCAAAAGUUGGGACCUUGUAAAGCAAUCCAGCUACUGUAGGGACUAAUGAUAUCAUUUUUUACUUCAUAAAAUUUUAUAUCUUUUUGGCCUUUCCAACCUAUCUUUUGUGUGCCACCUUUAUCAUAAUGAGCAGCAUUAGACGGGAGCUUCGUAUUUAUUGUGAUUUAUCUUUUGAUGUGCUUCUGUGGUUCUAUUUCUUGCUUCUUUUUACCUUUGCUUCCCUUUUCUGUCUUUGUACUGGCAUGUCUUCAGCUUUCAUGCACAAGUAUAACAUAGCUUACAUGGUCUCUUUAUUCUACUAUGUCUUAGUUCUAUUAAUUUUCUUCAUGGCACUGCUCUUAACUAUUUAUCCACUGAAUUAUUGUUUAUAUAAUAUUCUAAUUUCUCCUAAAGUAAUUGUCACAUUAUUUAUUUGGAUAUGUCUAUAGGUCUGAUAUAGCUGAACAGAGUGGAGAAGUUUCAAGAUCAAUUGCUGGCCCAGGUUUUGUCGCCUGCUUAUUGUUUCAAUGGAACACUAUGCUCAUCCUGAACUGCACGUGGAGAGAAACCCAUUGCCUCGUGUACAUGCUGGUGUUACUAGUCCAACGGACUUGAUAUCAUUGCAUAUGGUGCACCGGAGCAGUCUGUAGAAGGAAUGAAGGUUGUUUGCCACGAGAUGGCACAGGCCACGAAUGAACCUGAUGGAAGUGCAAUGGAUGAUAUUGUAAGGGACGCAGACCGGCUUGUCUCAAUCUUAGACAAUAAGGUUGCAAAGACAUUUGACUUCAGUCUAACUGGCGCUUCUUCGAGAUCUUGUAAAUAUGUCUUAAACACGCUGAUGCAGGUGGUACUCUACCUGUAGAUAUUCUUCUUGCAGCAUCUUUUGCUAGAAUUUAUGAUAUUCCUUUGUUGCUCUUUUGAUGAUGUUUAGUGUACUACAGACGUUUCAAAAUAAGACUCUAGCUCAUUGUCAAGGAGAGCCCUCUUGACAAUCUAAUUACUGAACUUCUGCUUUGACUUUUGGAUGAACGGGUUCCCCGCAUGGAUGAUGGUUACCAACUUCUGAAAGCUUUGAAUGUUUUGAUGCUCAAGAUCUUGGUCCAUCUGCACUGGCCUGUGGCUGCUCUGUUUCAUCACCGUUGUUCUAUUCUAUCUGAAGUAAUGACAUUGUAUGCAGGAUAAUGCCGAUCAAAUGGCCAGCGCCAGCAUCAAAUGAAGCCUUUGCUGUCAGAAAUCAGAAUUUCUCUGAUCUUGUUGUCAAAUGUCUGAUCAAACUAACAAAGGAUUUUGCAGAUUUGUAGCAACUCCAAUUCUUCUGUUCCAAGGAUGCUACAUUCAGGUGGAUUAAAAAAGGCACUUGAACACUUAAAAGCUGCCUUCUUCUUUGCUUAAAGAGGUGCUGGAUCAUUUUUGGUCCAUAGCAUGCUUGAUGCUUCUGUGAAUUCUCUUGAUUACUUAUUUACAACACGAUCCUAUUUCAGUGCAUUGAGAUGAAUCAGAGCUGGUCGAUGUAGAUUUAUCAAAUAUAGGGAGUUAUACUUUAUACUCAAAGUGCAAUAUCGUGUAAAUGCUAUGGAUCUGUGUACUAGGAUCAAUAUGGCUAGCGUAGAAAUACUCUUUCCCUCUUUUCUCUCUCCUGUUAAGGUAAUUCUUCUUCUUCUCUCUCUUCCUCUUUUCUUAUUUUACUUUAUCGUUUGUGUUUAGAUCUAGGUCGCCGAAUUUAGUCUCAUUUUACCUUUUUAAUGCUCAAUUCGACAUCAAAUUCAUUUGUUUUUACGGAUUCUACAACCUAUCUAUCACUGGAACUUGAUUUUCUUUUGUUAUGGUUUAGUAAAGAGACUACAUUGUAUUAUUAUGUUGUUUUAUAAUAAUGAAAUACAAGAAACUAUUUAUACUUAAACUAAUUUCAUCAACUAAAACUAAUUUUCCUUGUAUUAAGGAAACCAAGUAACAAACUUUGUAACCAUCUAUAUAUUCCAACAAAUUGAUGAUCAUAUCACCGAUUACAACCUAGCCACUCCUUCGAGAGAAAUGACACUCCCCAAGCUAACACUACUAAUCUUUCACCACAAUUUUCAACCUGCUUUCUUCUUUUUCAUUACCAGUAUAUAGACUACCUUAAUUCCCUAACAAGUUCUCUAUGAAAAAUACGAAUCGGAAGUGGAUAUUUCUUUCGUGCAUGGAUCCUGAUCGAGCUUGGCUCUUCCUUGCUUCUCUCGCCUUUAUUUGUGUGCAGGAGCUCGAGGUUUGGAGCAUUUUUUUCAGCUGAUAAUGUAGUCUUUAUUUGGUUUAUUAUUUGCAAAUGCGGCUGUUUUUACAAUGUGGCAAGUCUACCUCAAGACUUUAUGCUUAAAAACUUUACGAUUUCAAUGGACAACCUUUAGUGUGGACGUAUACACACGAUGCUAACUUGUGCAUUCAGCCACUUAAGCAUGGGACAUCUUGCAUCUAAUAUGAUCAAUCUCUUCUGCUUUUGCAGUAGUGUUUCAUAUCUACAGGGAAGAUGACAUACUUGGUACUCUACAUGAUUGAUUUCAGUUCAUUGGUAGUUUCGUGCGACACUAAAUCCAGCGUGUAGGAGUUUUCAGUUCAGUGGUGGUUUCCUGUCACACUAAAUCCUGCGUUUUGGAGCUUCCAGUUCAGUGGUGGUUUCCUGGCACACCUAUCAAUUACUGAUUAGUAAUUCCAUGCAGAGUAGCAUUUACUAACAGUACCUUUGGUUAUGGUGGUUAUGGUGCGCACAGUGUGGUUUGAAACCUGGUUCUUAAAAACAAGCCUUCGGACCUGUAAAUCGAUUCUUAAAGCCUGUGAGACUUUGUUUAAGGAGGCUAAUACUAAUGAUGGAUUAAAGUCUAAAUGAAAAUGACAUUCUCUAACAACAUGUUAUUUAUGUUGUGCUAGAUCUAAACAUAACUUAAUUUUUUUUGGCAUGCCUUGUGACUAUUGUAAUUCAUGCUUAGGAGCCUCGAUAAUUUUGUUUGUUCGCUUUUUUGCUGAAUUGAAUGGAAUAUUUGGUUGCACUUUUGCCCCCUUGGUUGUUAACUAUGUACAUCUAUUACAUAGUUGUAAAUUCUAUGGCUUUGCAAAACUAACUAUCUCUUGGCUUUCCUUUAGGAAUUUCCUUGACUCUCAUCAAUCAGAUUUCAUUAGUUUACAAGGCUACAAGGCAACACCUGGUAAGCUUUUCCUUGGCUCUCCUUGUGUAGCUUACUUAGAUGUUUGUUUAAGCCAUGCUUGCUCAAUCAUGUUUUGUUUGGAAAUGUGUUUGCUCUUUGUUGUUGUUCUUGUGGUUUAUAUGCUCCUUUUUUACUGCUUAUUUUAGUUGUGUUCCAGUAUGCAUGAUUGUGCUCUCUUAGAUUCUAGUUUUUUUACUGCUUAUUUUUGUUCUGUUCCGGUGCUCUCUUAGAGUCACCUGUUUUGACUUUUUCUUACUGCUUAUUUUUGCUCUGUUCCAGUAUGCAUGAUUGUGCUCUCUUAGAAUCACAUGUUCUAGCUUUUUACGAAAUAAAAAUAUCGUGCCUUCUAUGUGUUUGGAAAAUGCAGUGGAUAUGUUGUAUUGCUUGUGGUCCUUGACUAUUAGGAGAUAAGUCUUUCGUUUGAGUAUAAAUCUAUAUAGGUUUAUUGUUAAAUAUAAUGUAUGCAAAGAGAUUUUGCUUGGUGUUAGAAAUAAUGGUUUAUUGUCUCUGGAGCUACUUAUAAAAAGGAUGGACAAAGAACUUUUUUAGAUUGGUUGCAUUCCGCUAUAAAGAACAAAUUGAACGCAUUUGAAGAAGAUGGCAGCAGAACAAAGCAGAAGCAGGUCAAGCACCUAUCAUCAUGGUUCAUAAAAUUUAGUUGCUUUUCUUUGUAAAUCAUUUGUUAGGUAGAGCUAUGAUAGAAAUUAUGUGUUUUGUAGUGGUACAACACUGUUCUUGACCUUGCUAUUAGUUUGGGUGAAUACACAAUUCAUUUGGUCU